GGGAAUGUAGUUCAGUUGUAGAGCAUUUGCCUACCAUUAAUAAGGCCCUGGGUUUAAAUCCUAGCACCCCCC
RNAcentral lists this transfer RNA (72 nucleotides) under Fukomys damarensis (Damara mole-rat). It matches the Rfam family "tRNA". From Rfam's summary of the family: Transfer RNA (tRNA) molecules are approximately 80 nucleotides in length. Their secondary structure includes four short double-helical elements and three loops (D, anti-codon, and T loops). Lineage: Eukaryota; Metazoa; Chordata; Mammalia; Rodentia; Bathyergidae. The record is from Rfam by way of RNAcentral.